ACACUCUCCAGCUACUCGUGCUCUCCUCAGGCCAGGGGGAACUGCAGCUAUUUCACAGGCAGCACCAUCCACUGGGUUUUCUCAAAUACUCUGCAGGGCCUGGCCUGACCAAGAUCAGUCGAGCAGGGAGAAGAAAAAAAAAAAAGAAAAGGUAGAUAAAGAAGUGGUCAGAAGACAUUUUAUCAACCCAAAUCACAGGUGAUUUUCAGUGGAGUCUUGGGAAAUAAAGUCUGGCACGAGUCAGCAGCCCCUGGAAGAGGAGUGGAGAUGAUUUUCCUCCUGGCAACUCCAGUCACCUUGGGAAUUUCCUCUGCUCUCAGCACUCAGCACUAGAUGGCAUCCAAGGUGGGGUGUGUGAUACAGAGAACAACAGCUUCUCAGCCACCAAGGUGCUGUCUGAGUCUGGAAAACGUGAGCAAGAAUGGGUCAAGAAAUAGAAAAAAACGUGUGGAGUGUUCAUAAAAGGACAAGGAGCUGCUGGAGUGAGUCCAGCCACAAAGAUCAUCUGAGGGCUGCAGAACCCUGGGAGAGCUGUGGGUGUCCAGCACAGAGAUGGCUCCAAACAGACCUUAAAACCCCUUCCAGUGCCUAAAGGGGAUCCAAGAGAGCUGGAGAGGGACCUGGGACAAGGACAUCGAGAGGACAAGGGGCAAUGGCUUCACACUGAAAGAAGGCAGGGGUAGAUUGGCUAUUAGGAAGAAAUUCUUCCCUGUGAGGGUGGGGAGGCCCUGGCACAGGUUCCCAGAGUAGCUGUGGCUGCCCCAUCCCUGGAAGUGUCCCAGACCAGCUUGGAUAGGUCUUGGAGCAGCCUGGGAUGGUGAAAGGUGUCCCUCCCAUGUCAGGGGUUAGAACAAGGUGAUUUUUAAUGUCCCUUCCAACUCAAACCAUUCUGUGAUUCAUGUUUUCUCUUUGAGGGCCAUUAUUAGGAGCUCUUCAUCCAAGGACAGUAGAAAAGAGUAAAAUCAGGGCCAGGUUCCUUAAUGCCCAUCAUGACCUAGCAGUAUUUUUUGGGCUGCUUGUCAGGUGCCCACAGAAGCAAACACAAUCACAGAGCCACCCAGGCUGGCUGUCCCUGAGGAAACAAACCCAAAUGAAAACAGUAAAACGGUGCCUUCUCAGGCUUCUGUGAUAUGUGCUUUUGCACUUGGGUUUAUCACCCCAAAAGCAUUUUACCCCACUUUCCCAGCAGCUGAUGGCCCGAGGAUUUUCUGAAGGCAGGAGGGUGUAAAGGUGGGAGUGUGCCUGGGAAAAGGUGGGCAGGUGAGGACGGGUAAAAUGAGAGCCCAAAGUGGCUCAUUUUGAGGAGGGGGAGGUGUCUUUUUCUUUCACUUUUGAAUCCCAGUGUUUCAAAACAGUCUCGUGGUUUGGAUACAGGAUUUUGACAUUCAGUGUUUGAUGUUAGCAAUUCUGAUAAAGGAGAUAAAGGGUCUGUGGUGGAGCACAGGAGUUAUUUGUGGGCUGUUGGGCAACGACUGUCAGUGAACCUGUGUCUUUGUGUGCUUAAAGUGUAGUCCCUGACAUUUACUGCCAAUUUUAAAGGGAUUUACUCUUUGCUAUUUCAUAAUCCCUGAUUCAGAGCAAAUUUGCAGAUUUUGAAGAUCAGAAGAGACCAUUAAUGCCCUAGUCUGAGUCUCUGGAUAGCUGAAGCCACCUAAUUUCAUCUCCUCCUGUACUGAGCCAGAUACUUUGUGUUCAGCUGCACCACCAAGCAAGACAUGAAGGUGGAAAGAUCAACCACUAACCCAAUACUCAGAAAUGUGUCCCAAGAUUUGAUCGUUGUCACUAUUUAAAAUAAAGUGGGCAAUGUGCUUCUCAUUUUUUUAGUCCAUUUUAGGGUAGAAGAAUAAUUUAUGCCCAAAAAUUUGUGUAAAAGCAAUUAUUUCUUCAUCCUGUUCAAAAUAAAGGAAAAGAUAAGCUGGAUAUAUAUCCCAGAGAAUCUGCUUGGCUCCACAGGGAAAAUAACCUCCUUCUAGUGGUUUGAUGCUGCGGUCUGUAAGGCAACUUUUUGUUCAUUUGUAAAAUCAUUUGAGCUGCAGUAAGGUCAAUAUCAGAACUUGAACAGAAUUUUUU
This is a long non-coding RNA of Passer domesticus (house sparrow), 2070 nucleotides long. RefSeq lists it as uncharacterized. The transcript is spliced from 3 exons. The record is from RefSeq and is a predicted model, not a curated record. Lineage: Eukaryota; Metazoa; Chordata; Aves; Passeriformes; Passeridae.